AGGGACAUGGCUCAAGUGGUAGAGCACCUGUCUAGCAAAUACAAAGUUCUGAGUUCAAAUCCUAGUGCUCCCC
Molecule: transfer RNA, 73 nt
Filed under: Dipodomys ordii (Ord's kangaroo rat)
Lineage: Eukaryota; Metazoa; Chordata; Mammalia; Rodentia; Heteromyidae
Rfam family: tRNA
About the family: Transfer RNA (tRNA) molecules are approximately 80 nucleotides in length. Their secondary structure includes four short double-helical elements and three loops (D, anti-codon, and T loops). Further hydrogen bonds mediate the characteristic L-shaped molecular structure. tRNAs have two regions of fundamental functional importance: the anti-codon, which is responsible for specific mRNA codon recognition, and the 3' end, to which the tRNAs corresponding amino acid is attached (by aminoacyl-tRNA synthetases). tRNAs cope with the degeneracy of the genetic code in two manners: having more than one tRNA (with a specific anti-codon) for a particular amino acid; and 'wobble' base-pairing, i.e. permitting non-standard base-pairing at the 3rd anti-codon position.
Source: Rfam by way of RNAcentral